RNAcentral lists this ribosomal RNA (465 nucleotides) under uncultured Klebsiella sp. RNAcentral's name for it is "bacterial SSU rRNA". It matches the Rfam family "Bacterial small subunit ribosomal RNA", at positions 338 to 795 of the family's 1533-position model. Lineage: Bacteria; Pseudomonadati; Pseudomonadota; Gammaproteobacteria; Enterobacterales; Enterobacteriaceae. The record is from RNAcentral.
CCUACGGGGGGCAGCAGUGGGGAAUAUUGCACAAUGGGCGCAAGCCUGAUGCAGCCAUGCCGCGUGUGUGAAGAAGGCCUUCGGGUUGUAAAGCACUUUCAGCGGGGAGGAAGGCGGUGAGGUUAAUAACCUCAUCGAUUGACGUUACCCGCAGAAGAAGCACCGGCUAACUCCGUGCCAGCAGCCGCGGUAAUACGGAGGGUGCAAGCGUUAAUCGGAAUUACUGGGCGUAAAGCGCACGCAGGCGGUCUGUCAAGUCGGAUGUGAAAUCCCCGGGCUCAACCUGGGAACUGCAUUCGAAACUGGCAGGCUAGAGUCUUGUAGAGGGGGGUAGAAUUCCAGGUGUAGCGGUGAAAUGCGUAGAGACCUGGAGGAAUACCGGUGGCGAAGGCGGCCCCCUGGACAAAGGCUGACGCUCAGGUGCGAAAGCGUGGGGAGCAAACAGGAUUAGAUACCCGUGUAGUC